Long non-coding RNA from Panonychus citri (citrus red mite), 1125 nucleotides. RefSeq lists it as uncharacterized. The record is from RefSeq and is a predicted model, not a curated record. NCBI's taxonomy places the organism in Eukaryota, Metazoa, Arthropoda, Arachnida, Trombidiformes, Tetranychidae. The transcript has 4 exons.
CUUUCCUUUACUCUCUCAUCAUGUUUGUUUCUAUUCACUUGGAAUCGAGUGACUUUGUCGCUAUGUGACAUGGAAACUGUUUUGGGUGAUUAACUUUCAUCUAUUUAUUCAAUGGAAAUGAAUUAUUUUCUUGGAUAAUCAAAAACGAAACUUUUAUGUUUACAAUUGAGAAUGAAACUAAUUCAAUUUGAUUUAUCUUCUAUCUGGUUGAUCUUUUUGAUUCCAUCUCUUUUGCUCCAAUGGAACAAUUGAAAUCUCCUAAUCAAAUCAAUUUCCUAAUGAGAUCAAGAUUUUUUUGUGGGUUCAUUAAGUAUAAGAAAAUCUCAAUUAACCAAAUUACAUCAUGGAGGUAAACGAUUCUCUGAUAGUAAGAAUUGGAAAAUCAGAUUCAACCUUAACGAUGUCCUCGAGAGAUUAUCUUUAACUCACCUUAACUCACUUGAGAUUAUCCAACUUAUCAAAAAGUGAUUACAGUUCCUUACAUUUUCAGUGAUCCACUUUUACCGUUGGUUCCUUCAACUCAAUCGUUUCAUUUCAUCGUUUUCUUCAUUCAGUAAACUAAAUUGUUCUCCAUUGACUCGAUUUGGCUCCUUUUUCUUAUAUUCUGUGUAUUAUUUCAUCUUUAAUAUGAAUUCCAUUUUCUCUGAAGCUUUUUGGAAUUUUUUCUCACUUCUUUGUUUCUUUCUUCGCUUCAAGAUUAAUUACUGACAUUAAUCAUUCUCCCAUUGUUAUUCCAAAUUUCUAAGUGUCAUCAAAUUUGUGUUAUUACUUUUGUUUUGUUUUUGUUCAUAAUCGGAAGUGAUUCUAAUUUACAAGAAUCGACGAUGAUCCACUUUGGUAUGAUUCUUGAUUUCUUUCAACGCAACAUGUUCCUCAUCUUUCUUGAUUUCAUGUUAACAUUUAUGUAUAUUGGUUUGUACAAAAUGAUCAACAAUUCAAAUAGUCGAAUCUCUUCAAAUAGCUAAUUACUCGUUGACAAUUAAAGCCAUAAACUCAACAGCCAAAGAAGACUAUGGAUUCAAAUAAUAAUUAAAAUGAAAUCAGCUCAUUUUCCUGAAGUUGAUAACCAAUCAAACGAGAUGUAAUGAAGUAAAUUGCAAAUAAACACCAUUUUGCUUAUUUAAA